RNAcentral lists this ribosomal RNA (492 nucleotides) under uncultured bacterium. RNAcentral describes it as "partial 16S ribosomal RNA". It matches the Rfam family "Bacterial small subunit ribosomal RNA", at positions 29 to 507 of the family's 1533-position model. The record is from RNAcentral.
AGUGAACGCUGGCGGUAGGCCUAACACAUGCAAGUCGAACGGCAGCACAGUAAGAGCUUGCUCUUACGGGUGGCGAGUGGCGGACGGGUGAGGAAUACAUCGGAAUCUACUUUUUCGGGGGGGAUAACGUAGGGAAACUUACGCUAAUACCGCAUACGACCUACGGGUGAAAGCAGGGGAUCUUCGGACCUUGCGCGAUUGAAUGAGCCGAUGUCGGAUUAGCUAGUUGGCGGGGUAAAGGCCCACCAAGGCGACGAUCCGUAGCUGGUCUGAGAGGAUGAACAGCCACACUGGAACUGGGACCCGGGCCCGACUCCUACGGGAGGCAGCAGUGGGGAAUAUUGGACAAUGGGCGCAAGCCUGAUCCAGCCAUACCGCGUGGGUGAAGAAGGCCUUCGGGUUGUAAAGCCCUUUUGUUGGGAAAGAAAAGCAGCAGGUUAAUACCCCGCUGUUCUGACGGUACCCAAAGAAUAAGCACCGGCUAACUUCGUG